GAUGCUUUUAUCAACGGGUAUUCUUUAUACUUGUAUUCUAAUGGUGGAAUCGGCUGCAUGGUAUCCACAGAUGAUUUUUUUUGGCGAUUCUCAUACGAUGCCUUUAAAUCGCCAUAACUUUGAAGGUGGACAGUACAACAUCAAUAGAGAGCAAGGAAUUCUAGGAACGCUGCGCAAUAAAGAUUACAAGCGGAAUCCCGGGAUUGGUGCAGUAAAUCCACAGCUAAAGCCUCAGCGAAAUCGACAGCCAAAGCCACAGAGAGAAAGACGGAUGGUUAUACUGAAAAAACCAAGAACAUUGUAGCAGA
Molecule: long non-coding RNA, 308 nt
Organism: Mytilus californianus (California mussel)
Lineage: Eukaryota; Metazoa; Mollusca; Bivalvia; Mytilida; Mytilidae
Exons: 3
Source: RefSeq, a predicted model, not a curated record